AAGUCGUAACAAGGUCUCCGUAGGUGAACCUGCGGAGGGAUCAUCAUUGAUAGCUUAUUGCUGGGCUUGCCCGCAAACAACAAACAGCAUGUCAAAGAAGCGGGGCGGCUGGCUGGCUGGCUUGGGUGAUUUGGCUGACUUGGUGGGCUGACUUGGGUGAUUUGGCUUGGCUGGCGCCGCCCUCAGGAAAACACACUGCCUGAUACUACACUGACUUGGUCGCUGACUUGGAUAAACAGAAAACAACUUUCAACAACGGAUCUCUUGGCUCUCA
Molecule: unclassified non-coding RNA, 274 nt
Filed under: fungal sp.
Lineage: Eukaryota; Fungi
Description: partial internal transcribed spacer region
Rfam family: Eukaryotic small subunit ribosomal RNA (bases 1-46)
Source: RNAcentral